GACGAACGCUGGCGGCGUGCUUAACACAUGCAAGUCGAGCGGAAAGGCCCUUCGGUUUACUCGAGCGGCGAACGGGUGAGUAACACGGUAGUAACCUGCCCCAGACUUUGGGAUAACCCUCGGAAACGGGGGCUAAUACCGUAUACGACACAGCUUCGCAUGGGGUCUGGGUGGAAAGUUGUUCGGUGUGGGUUGGGCUCGCGGCCUAUCAGCUUGUUGGUGGGGUGAUGGCCUACCAAGGCGACGACGGGUAGCCGGCCUGAGAGGGCGACCGGCCACACUGGGACUGAGACACGGCCCAGACUCCUACGGGAGGCAGCAGUGGGGAAUAUUGCACAAUGGGCGGAAGCCUGAUGCAGCGACGCCGCGUGAGGGAUGACGGCCUUCGGGUUGUAAACCUAUUUCAGCAGGGACGAAGCGUAAGUGACGGUACCUGCAGAAGAAGCGCCGGCCAACUACGUG
Molecule: ribosomal RNA, 462 nt
Filed under: uncultured bacterium
Lineage: Bacteria
Description: partial 16S ribosomal RNA
Rfam family: Bacterial small subunit ribosomal RNA
Source: RNAcentral